GAUGAACGCUGGCGGCGUGCCUAAUACAUGCAAGUCGAGCGAACAGACGAGGAGCUUGCUCCUCUGACGUUAGCGGCGGACGGGUGAGUAACACGUGUAUAACCUACCUAUAAGACUGGGAUCACUUCGGGAAACCGGAGCUAAUACCGGAUAAUAUAUUGAACCGCAUGGUUCAAUAGUGAAAGACGGUUUUGCUGGCACUUAUAGAUGGAUCCGAGCCGCAUUAGCUAGUUGGUAAGGUAACGGCUUACCAAGGCGACGAUGCGUAGCCGACCUGAGAGGGUGAUCGGCCACACUGGAACUGAGACACGGUCCAGACUCCUACGGGAGGCAGCAGUAGGGAAUCUUCCGCAAUGGGCGAAAGCCUGACGGAGCAACGCCGCGUGAGUGAUGAAGGUCUUCGGAUCGUAAAACUCUGUUAUUAGGGAAGAACAAAUGUGUAAGUAACUAUGCACGUCUUGACGGUACCUAAUCAGAAAGCCACGGCUAACUACGUG
RNAcentral lists this ribosomal RNA (497 nucleotides) under uncultured bacterium. Its description in RNAcentral is "partial 16S ribosomal RNA". It matches the Rfam family "Bacterial small subunit ribosomal RNA", at positions 28 to 507 of the family's 1533-position model. The record is from RNAcentral.